Prionailurus viverrinus (fishing cat) is the source of this 252-nucleotide long non-coding RNA. RefSeq lists it as uncharacterized. The transcript has 4 exons. NCBI's taxonomy places the organism in Eukaryota, Metazoa, Chordata, Mammalia, Carnivora, Felidae. The record is from RefSeq and is a predicted model, not a curated record.
GGUACCUCCGCCCAACACCCAAUCACCUUGAGUAACAUCAACAGACAGGCAGUAAUAAUCAGCCUCGUCCUCGGCCUGGAGCCUAGUGAUGGUCAAGGAGCCUGUGUUGCCAGACGUGGAGCCAGAAAAUCUGUCAGGGACCCCUGAGGGUCGAUUGCUACUACCAUAGAUGAGGAGUUUAGGGGCCUUUCCUGGAAGCUGUUGGUACCAGUUCACACCAGCAAUACCGAUGUUGCUCCUACUUCCAGCGCA